Molecule: RNase P RNA, 466 nt
Filed under: Treponema sp.
Lineage: Bacteria; Pseudomonadati; Spirochaetota; Spirochaetia; Treponematales; Treponemataceae
Description: RNase P RNA component class A
Rfam family: Bacterial RNase P class A
About the family: Ribonuclease P (RNase P) is a ubiquitous endoribonuclease, found in archaea, bacteria and eukarya as well as chloroplasts and mitochondria. Its best characterised activity is the generation of mature 5'-ends of tRNAs by cleaving the 5'-leader elements of precursor-tRNAs. Cellular RNase Ps are ribonucleoproteins.
Source: RNAcentral
GCGAUGAACCAGAUUCCCGCGCUGUGGGUAAAACCGCGGUGAGGAAAGUCCGGGCUCCGCAGGGCAUGAUGCCGGGUAACUCCCGGGCGGCGGGGGUAAUCCUUCGCCGACAGACAGCGCAACAGAAAGUAAACCGCUUUGGGUUUAACCCCCAAGAAUAGGGCUUCGCCGUAUUCUUGAAAGUGUUUUUUUGGUUAACCAAAAAAACACUAAGUAAGGGUGAAAGGGCGGUGUAAGAGACCACCGCGGCGGCGGUAACGUCACCGGCACGGCAAGCCUCAUCAGGAGCAAAGUCAAGCAGCGCCAUGAAAAGGCAAAAGCUUUUUCGGCCAAAGCCCGUUGGUUUAGGCGCGGGUAGACCGCUCGGGACCUGGUCCCGGGAGGCCUUUUGUAAGAAAGGUUCAAGAUAGAUGGGAAUCGGCGGCGUAAAACCGUCACAGAACCCGGCUUAUGGUUCAUCGUUUUU